UGUCGGAUCGUCAAAAGGAGCUUCUGCUGGCUUUUGUGAAAGAGCACCCACAGAUCGCGACGCUGUCGUGCCCGCUGGAGCCGUCGUUCACGAGGGAGGACCGGGACGACAUGUGGCAGGAGCUAGUAGCGCUUUUGAACGAAGAAGUCCCUGCGCGUAACACCAGGGCCCAGUGGCAGGCCCGAUGGAGGAAUGAGCGCUACUAUUCGCAGCAGGGUCUUGUCAAACUCCGAGGGCAGCAGAGCGGCACCCGAGGCGGCCAGAUUUCGGAUUACCGCGGCCGCGUCGUGCUUGACAGGGACGAGUGUGCGAGGCCCAUAGUUCGGGUGGUCUGAAUCGGUGAGCCCUGCUCCAGCUGCUACUGGUGUGGCUGAAGAGGAUGUGGCCCAGGAUCUUUCCCGUGCCCCAAUUCCUCAUGCCGCAGCUGCGAGAUGGGGGCAACCGGCAGGCCGAGGCGCUGGAGUUACUAGCCGCAAACACCAGGCGGCAGGGCCAGGCAUCAUUGGAAAGCUGCGCCAG
Long non-coding RNA from Rhipicephalus sanguineus (brown dog tick), 519 nucleotides. RefSeq lists it as uncharacterized. Lineage: Eukaryota; Metazoa; Arthropoda; Arachnida; Ixodida; Ixodidae. The record is from RefSeq and is a predicted model, not a curated record. The transcript is spliced from 4 exons.